GGUCCUUCGAGAUAGAGAUACCGUCAAGUUAAGCUGGAACCAUAACUGAAUAGAGACUCUUCUUCAACAUGUCAGGCAUCCUUAUAUGAAAGAGACACUGACACACGUGGAGGGAGGUACCACAUGAGGACUGAGGGAAUCAACACCUUCUGGCUUCUUUGAGCACCAGGAAUAGCAUAUGCUGCACAGACAUACAUACAGGUUCUCCACUGAGGCCCAGUGGUCUUUACAUGCAACAUCUGUAUCUCUGUCUACACUCCACUAUACCUCCAGGAUGUCCUCCUUCGCCUGAGAAGAGCCCUGUCCUACAAGCAUGCUAAGCACCAGGCCGGUUGCUCUUACCUGCCUCCCUCAGAUGAGCCGACUCCCAGGUAGUGUGCACAGAAUCACAUGAAGAAGAG
This 401-nucleotide long non-coding RNA is filed under the name Cricetulus griseus (Chinese hamster). Its description in RNAcentral is "lncRNA (ENSCGRG00015037279.1)". Lineage: Eukaryota; Metazoa; Chordata; Mammalia; Rodentia; Cricetidae. The record is from RNAcentral.